RNAcentral lists this ribosomal RNA (253 nucleotides) under uncultured bacterium. RNAcentral's name for it is "partial 16S ribosomal RNA". It matches the Rfam family "Bacterial small subunit ribosomal RNA", at positions 524 to 776 of the family's 1533-position model. The record is from RNAcentral.
UACUGAGGUGGCAAGCGUUGCUCGGAAUCACUGGGCGUAAAGGGCGCGUAGGCGGGGAGGUAAGUCGGGUGUGAAAUCCCUUGGCCCAACCGAGGAACUGCGCCCGAGACUGCUUCUCUUGAGUCCCGGAGAGGAAGGUGGAAUUCCUGGUGUAGCGGUGGAAUGCGCAGAUAUCAGGAGGAACACCGAUGGCGAAGGCAGAUCUCUGGGCCGUAACUGACGCUGAGGAGCGAAAGCAUGGGGAGCGAACAGG